GUGCACGCUGGCGGUAGGCCUCACCCCUGCAAGUCGCACGGCAGCACAGUAAGAGCUUGCUCUUACGGGUGGCGAGUGGCGGACGGGUGAGGAAUACAUCGGAAUCUACUUUUUCGUGGGGGAUAACGUAGGGAAACUUACGCUAAUACCGCAUACGACCUACGGGUGAAAGCAGGGGAUCUUCGGACCUUGCGCGAUUGAAUGAGCCGAUGUCGGAUUAGCUAGUUGGCGGGGUAAAGGCCCACCAAGGCGACGAUCCGUAGCUGGUCUGAGAGGAUGAUCAGCCACACUGGAACUGAGACACGGUCCAGACUCCUACGGGAGGCAGCAGUGGGGAAUAUUGGACAAUGGGCGCAAGCCUGAUCCAGCCAUACCGCGUGGGUGAAGAAGGCCUUCGGGUUGUAGAGCCCUUUUGUUGGGAAAGAAAAGCAGCAGGUUAAUACCCCGCUGUUCUGACGGUACCCAAAGAAUAAGCACCGGCUAACUUCGUG
Molecule: ribosomal RNA, 491 nt
Filed under: uncultured bacterium
Lineage: Bacteria
Description: partial 16S ribosomal RNA
Rfam family: Bacterial small subunit ribosomal RNA
Source: RNAcentral